AUAUAAACACUCCUCUUUAGGUUUCUGCAUGCAGUGUGAGAGCUUCUUGUCCUUCAGUAUGACAGAGGGAGUUUGUGGGAUCCCAGGAGACUUAAUGCACCAAGCUGGAUCUGAUAAUCUUACAGGAAAACAAAUUCUUUUUUUUUUUUUUCCCCAAAGACUCCCACUUUUUGAGCCUCUUGGAUCGGUUUCCCUCAGCUACCUGAUCAGAUUAUUCACACUGUACCUGGACUGCCACUCUUUUACAGUUUAUAUGGCACCUAAACCCCCAGAAGGCUCAGCAGACAACAAUUCUAUGGCUUUAAUAAUAUAUUAUAUAAUAUAACAUAACUAUCCUCCCAUAAUUAAUUCCCAACUGCAGAUAGGUAUUUUUUCUUUUUCUUUUUUUUUUCCCCUCUUCCUACAUCCACUCUGAUGUGUUAAAUAUGUCUUCAGUGAUGGAGGUCUGCAAGCAGUCUGCUUUAAAAGUUUAGGCUACACAUUGUCUUUAGGGAGGUGACAAUGACUGAUCAUGUACCACCAGCUCUUCAAGCUUCUCCUUACAACAGUCUCUCCUCACAGUCCCAGUGUUUUCAGUGUUCAGGUGCUGUAACUUGAGAUAAUAUCCAGAGUGCUUGAAUUGAAACUUCUAUGAAGAAUACACUCUUGUUUGUCCCUGAACAAGAAAAAAUGUGAACAUAUACAUUGUGUUUGUACUUCUGAUAUGAUGUGGGAAUCUUGGUGAUGGAGCAUCCAAGUACUACAUGUGGUUCUUGAACUUCUGUGAGCAAGUAGAGGUGGAUAAUUCAUCCUGGUAGUUUUGGAGUGCAAUAAACACCAGGAACCUGAAAAGAGGUAAAGUUUUCAAAUUAUUUACUGUUAAUUAUUUUUAGCAAAGAGUACACUUAGCAUUUUAAAGAUGCAAUGAAAAUCUUAUGCUGACUGAGAAAAGCAUCUGCAUGAAAAACAAUUUCUUGUUCUCUCCCAGGAUGUAUUCUUAUCUUUUAAACUUUACCCGGUGUUGUUCCUGACCUUCAUAUUUUUGCAAGCCAACAAUUACUAUUCAUGGCAUUUUCCAUCAGAUUUGUUUGCUGUUAUGUAUUGGUUCUAAAAUUACGGGUCUCGUCCAGUUUUAAUUCUUUUUCCCU
This is a long non-coding RNA of Corapipo altera (White-ruffed manakin), 1127 nucleotides long. RefSeq lists it as uncharacterized. Lineage: Eukaryota; Metazoa; Chordata; Aves; Passeriformes; Pipridae. The transcript is spliced from 4 exons. The record is from RefSeq and is a predicted model, not a curated record.